RNAcentral lists this long non-coding RNA (2137 nucleotides) under Capsicum annuum. RNAcentral's name for it is "long non-coding RNA (CANN_LNC018509)". The record is from RNAcentral. Lineage: Eukaryota; Viridiplantae; Streptophyta; Magnoliopsida; Solanales; Solanaceae.
CCGAGUUGCCCUUGCUGCAUCCGUUAACAUUCAUUUUAGUUUCUCCAAGCACAAGUUUGAUCCAUUUGGCUGGUUGUUUUUAUGCAUCAUAUUAUGUUAUACAUUGUAAUGUAUUAUUUGAUGUACAAUCUCCAUUUUAAUAGAGCUUUAAGCUCCAUUUUAAUGAAGGAAAUUGAACGGGAAUGGGGGAGGGAGGUGUUGGAUGGGAUGGGGGUGGGGAGGUAGGGUGGGGUCAUAAAUAAAAAUGAAGUUUAAAGCUCUAUUAAAAUGGAGAUUGUACAGGAGCUUUAAGCUCCAUUUUAAUGGAGGAAACAGGACGCGGGGGGAGGAGGAGCUGUUGGACCUGGAAAAAUAUUUGACACGUGGCAGCACCUGAUUGGUGCGUGCAUUCACUCUCUCUAUUGUGACUGAGAUUCAGCGAAAAAUGAUGUAUUUACAAUGAAAUAAAGAAGAAUCAUGGGGUAAUAGAUCAAAGUUAGAGUUUAGGUAUCUUUUUGCAAAACUCGGACAAGAUCAGGAGGUAAUUAUGUAUUUACUCUUAUUUUAAUGAAUUGCGUAUUUUGAUGAAGUGUAUCAUUUUUUAUAGUUUCAUAAUAUCAUGCAUCAUCAUAUGAAUAAUACACUUAUAUUAUUGUAAAAGAAAAAGUAAAGUAUGAUGUAGAAUUUUUUAAAAAAAAAAAAACUAUAUAAAGUAGGAUAAAAAUAAAGUAUAUAGAUUUAUUAAAUAAUAAGCUUAAGAUAACAACAUAUCAUACUAAAUCAAUCAUUACAUAACAUGACACACAUAUAUAUAACAAUGAAUUUUAAUAAAGAAAAACUUACAUAAAUCCCAACACUUUAAGACCUAACUAUUUUCUAUCCUUUCUCUUAACUAAAUUAUAAUAAAUUUUAAUUUUUCUUUAUCCAGAUAGAUAACUAACGCGUCUGAUACAUCACUGUCGCCGAUACAGUAUUAACCAAUUAGGAGAGAUAAAAGUGAAAAAUAGCAAAAAUUUGUUCAAUUAUGAAAAAAUCACUACCCACAACUCGAACUUCGUCCAAAUACACCAAUUUUUUUCUCCAUUAACACACACUAGCAGAACACUCCCUCCGUUUCAAAAAUCACAAGAGUCGACAUCGAAUCAAACUCCAUCUCUGGCAAAUUUACAUCAUCGGAGCAACCAUAACAGCUCCAAAACCACCGUAAGCUCUAACCUGUUAAACUCUUCACCACCAAUCACUAUUUUGGUUGAAUCCCAUAUUCAAAAAUCAAUAAUUAUCUCUUCUUCGUCGAAAAGCACAUAACGUCACCAUCACUAUCACUCCAACCAACCAACCGGUGAAACACCACUAUCUACCUAAAUUUACAGGCAAGUCUAUCAAAAAUAAUUACUACAAUCGAUACAUAAUUCUUAUGUAUCAAUAAUAUAGAUCUCAUUUUGAUACAUAAGUCUUAUAUAUCAUUAACACAAAAAAAUAUUUCGAUACAUAAUUUUUGAGAUAUUUUCACGAGAUACUAUCUCAUACAUAAUUCUUAUAUAUCAGUAACACAUAUCUCAUUUGAUACAUAAGCCGUAUGUAUCUACAAUACAAAAAAAUACCUCGAUUAAUAAUUUUUUUGUCAUUAUAAUGUAUCUCAUUUGAAUAAACCUCAAGUAUCUCAAUAUCGUCAUCGUUAUCCGUAGAUCAAGAAGCAGCAAAUAUCUCCUCCUCAAUUCGCCUUGCAACAUCAAAACUGAAUCGAUUUUUGCCAUUGAUGGUGGUGGUGCGGUGGUGUUGGUGGUUGGGGUUUGGGUAUUCUAAAAGUUUUUGUUGUUGAUGGUGGAAAAUUUGAUGAACAGAGUUUAUGGAGAAGAAGAUGAAAACUAUUAAAGAACAAGACCCAAUUGCUCCACAUUUCGUGCAUUAAAUGCCAAAUAAAAUAUGUGAAAGCAACUAGGUGGUGGCGGAGGAAAAGGGAUGAGAAAUCGUUUUCUUGAAAAAGUAAGAAAAAAAAGUCAAGAAAUUUCUCCCACAAAUCUCAAGCCUAAAGAGAAAUUAAAUAUAAAAGAAGAAGCAGUAAAUAAGAAAAUAGGCGGAUCUUUAUGCGAGAAAAAAUGGUGCCUUCUUUUCCUUUUGUGUUUUAUCCGAUGUUAUAAGAGAAAAAAAGUAAAUGAGG